GCCCCUAUAGUAUAGCCUGGAUAGUACGCAACCUUGCGGAGGUUGAAACCGGAGUUCAAAUCUUCGUAGGGGCG
This 74-nucleotide transfer RNA is filed under the name Candidatus Woesearchaeota archaeon. RNAcentral describes it as "tRNA-Arg". It matches the Rfam family "tRNA". From Rfam's summary of the family: Transfer RNA (tRNA) molecules are approximately 80 nucleotides in length. Their secondary structure includes four short double-helical elements and three loops (D, anti-codon, and T loops). Lineage: Archaea; Nanobdellati; Candidatus Woesearchaeota. The record is from RNAcentral.